UUGAGGUGUAAAAUUUAAUUGAAAAUAGUUUACUUGAGUAUUACGAGUUGCAUAAAAAUAUUUUGUUGCAGGGAUCUUAAAACUCAAAAGACUUGGCGGUAUCUUAAAUCCUUCUAGGGGAACCUGUCCUAUAAUCGAUAGUCCACGAUUUACCUCUCCUUUUCUUGAAAUAAUUCAGCCUGUAUACCGUCGUCGUCAGAUCACCUUUAAGAGUUAAAUAAGUUGUCAGAAAGAUAUUUGUAGAUUAAUAUUGCUUCUGGUUGUUGGAAGUAUAUUAUGUGAACAGUUUUCUAGAUGUCAGAUCAAGGUGCAGCCAAUGUAAAGGUAGAGAUGGGUUACAAUAAUUAUUUAUUAUUAACGGAUUUCUUAUUGAAAUUUAUAAGAACUGAAGGCGGACUUAGAAGUAAUUAAUUAAGAGAAAUAGAAAGUCUCGGUGAAGAUGGUACUAAGAUGUG
This 455-nucleotide ribosomal RNA is filed under the name Tegula excavata. RNAcentral's name for it is "partial 12S ribosomal RNA". Lineage: Eukaryota; Metazoa; Mollusca; Gastropoda; Trochida; Tegulidae. The record is from RNAcentral.